AUCCUUUUUUGGUUCGUAAGUGUGGGUUUUCAUACUUUUGUGUGGCAUGUGCCUCCCUCAAAUCUUGUUCUGACGUCGGCACAUUACAUGUCUGACG
Molecule: small nucleolar RNA, 97 nt
Organism: Trichechus manatus latirostris (Florida manatee)
Lineage: Eukaryota; Metazoa; Chordata; Mammalia; Sirenia; Trichechidae
Product: small nucleolar RNA U13
Exons: 1
Source: RefSeq, a predicted model, not a curated record